RNAcentral lists this ribosomal RNA (831 nucleotides) under Dictyocoela sp. BLAP CAN. RNAcentral describes it as "SSU rRNA". It matches the Rfam family "Microsporidia small subunit ribosomal RNA", at positions 1 to 788 of the family's 1311-position model. The record is from RNAcentral. Lineage: Eukaryota; Fungi; Microsporidia.
CACCAGGUUGAUUCUGCCUGACGUGGACGCUAGUCUCACAGAUUUAGCCAUGCAUGUGUAAGCGAAGCUUAUAGUGGAGCGGUAUACGGCUCAGUAACGGGCGAUUUAUUUGUUCUCCUGGGACGGACAACAUCGGGAAACUGAUGGGAAAACGUCUAAGUUGCAGUUAAUUGACUGUGACGUAAACUUUCGUGUGCAGGAGAGUAAGAUGCCAUCCUAUCAGUUAGUAAGUAGGGUAAGGGCCUACUUAGACGAAGACGGGUACGGGGAAUGAGGGUUUGAUUCCGGAGAGGGAGCCUGAGAGAUGGCUACCAGGACCAAGGUCAGCAGCAGGCGCGAAAAUUAUCGAAGCCCGCCUAGGGGCGAUAGUGAGGAGACGUGUAUAACGAAGUACGUGUAAAGAACGUGCUAAUAACUGGAGGUCAAGUCUGGUGCCAGCAUCCGCGGUAAUUCCAGCUCCAGGGGUGUCUAUGAUGAUUGCUGCGAUUAAAAAGUCCGUAGUCAAUCUGACUGACUGACCUGCAAUGUGAUUGAUUAAAGAACGAGCAGGGUUAGGAAAGCAGAGAAUUAGGAGCGACCGAGGGCUAGAGUAUUGAAUGGCGAGAGGUGAAAUUUGAUGACCCAUUCAGGAGUGACAAAGGCGAAGGCACUAGUCAAGGGCGAAUCCGAUGAUCAAGGACGUAGGCUAGAGUUUCGAAAACGAUUAGAGACCGGAGUAGUUCUAGCAGUAAACUAUGCCGACGCCGUGGUAUCAAUAAUGGUAUUGCGGAAGAGAAAUCAAGUAAGGCUUUGGGGAGAGUACGCGCGCAAGCGAUAAAUUUAAAGGAAAUU